AGGUGGGCGUGGCUGCCCAGCCUCGCGGCCUUUGCAGCCUGGAGACCGCAGCCCGCCGGCGCCCCGCUCGCACUGCCGCCGCCGCCUCUUGCGGCAGUUGCGGGGUGCGGCGCCGGUGCCAACCUCUUGCAGAGCUGGGCGCCUCGCGCAGGCGCGCUCCCCGCGCCGCCGGAAGUGACGGUUCCGGCCCGUGUCACGUGGAAAAGGAAUGGGGGGACAUCGUGGUGGGGGCUGGGGAUAGGAGUGGAGUCUGGGGUCCGGGUUAGGAACAGGAGGUGGUGCAAACGCGGAUCGGCGGGGCUGCUCGGUUCGGGAUUGUGUGUGUCGCUCUGGGGGUCUUGAAAUGCCGCCAGCGACUUGUCCCACUCGCGGAAACGUCCCGCUUCGAGCCCGUUUUCCAGACUCUGUCCCGAGAGGAUCGGUUUUCCGGGCGCCCCGGAGCGUGGGCGGAGGAGCAACACGGAGCUCGCAGGUUCCCGUAAGACGACUUGCAAAGCCCAGGUGUUCUCGCACUGUACCGGAUGUUUGCUCUCGGAAGCGUUCUGCGGUUCAAGAAUUGCUUAGAAGAGAGCUUUAAAGGCCUUCUGUGUGCCAUGUAGGAGCCGUGCGGUUGUGUUCAGAGCAGCACCGGACCUACUUCUUUGGACAGAUAACAAAGGUGUUUACUGAAACAGCGCCUGCUUGAUGUUCACUGAUAAAGUAGUCCUGAGUCAGCCUCUGAAGAUAAAAGGGCAAUCUUGCACUCUCAGUAACCUCAGUUUGGCAAGGAAAAGGAAUUUAUAUGUUCUUCACAUUUUAUUAAAACAUCCUUUCAUUCUCAUGCAAGUAUAUUAUCUGUUGAGUUCCCAUGUUGGACCCAUAUUUUAGGUCAAGAUGUAAGAACCUUCAGAUCCUUCUCUAGUACUGUGUCUGCAUGCAAGCUACCUUGCUUCCCACCAUGACAAUAAAGGACUAAACCUCUGAACUGUGAGAGAGCUUUGCUUUUAUAAGAGUGGCCAUGGUCAUGAUCUCUUCACAGCAAUGGAAACCCUAAGACAAUGAGCAAUCUUGUUGAGCAUUCAUUAAUAUUUCAUGUUGUCAUUUCUCUAUUCAAAAAAGCAGUACUAAUCACUAAUUCAAUCGCUGUAUUACUAAUAAUUUAUAAAUAUAUUGUAAUUAUGCUCUCAUUAAUAUUUUAAAUUCUAAAACUGCUGUUUUAAAUAAAAUGCAAAAAUUAUGUUGUAGUUGCUCAGAAGUAUUUUAUCCCACCUGCCCAUUAGAAUACAUAUAUUGAGUGUAACAAAAUCAGUUUCAGGGCUUUGCUUUGUUCGGUAUUCAUGAGGAGUAAAUAUGCUUAUAAUAACACUUUCAAGAAAGUAUGUUAUUAUUUGUAAAACACACCC
Molecule: long non-coding RNA, 1382 nt
Filed under: Cricetulus griseus (Chinese hamster)
Lineage: Eukaryota; Metazoa; Chordata; Mammalia; Rodentia; Cricetidae
Description: lncRNA (ENSCGRG00015033628.1)
Source: RNAcentral